CGGGCGGCGGGGCUUGUCCAACAUCCCUCACCUCCCUCAGUUGGACAUUUCCCUUCCACGCUCGGAUGCCCAGCCGCGCCUGUUUUCUUGCAUCCCUCCUGUCGUGUCUGCGGGGCUGCCCUGAAGGCCUCUUUCCCUCCAGGGAAGAAAGGGAUCCAAAGCUAGGGGUGAAAAUAGGGCCAGCAGUAUCUAGCAGACUGGUCCUGGCCAGGAGAAGGGGUUAAGGGAGCCACUCAUUCUUCGCCUGGGUACACUUCAAAGAGGGGAACCAGAUCCUACGGGAAGCUAGGUGCCAGAACUCCUGCCUUUCCAAGACGAGCUCAUCCCCAUCAUCACCAUACCCAGGAAUACUUGUUCAUAGCCAGCUCAGAGGUGCACCAUACUUUAGCUUCCCACGGCCUUCACUCGUUUUCUCCUGUGGGUGAAUUCUAACUAGGCUCGCCUGUCACCAAAGAUGGAAACAGAGAAUAGAUCCUGAACACCAGGAAGAUGGUGACAAGGUGAUAGAGAAACAGAUGGCACAUUCAAACAAGGUAAGUGGGGAGAGUUCACAAGGGGCGAUUUACACAAAGUGGACAGGGUUAAGGAAAUGCAACACGGAGUGGUGCAGAAUCCCAUGGCUAGCAAAAUUUAGAAGCUAUUCUCACCCCUAGGAGCAGGCC
This 662-nucleotide long non-coding RNA is filed under the name Homo sapiens (human). RNAcentral's name for it is "non-protein coding lnc-ZKSCAN7-4:4". Lineage: Eukaryota; Metazoa; Chordata; Mammalia; Primates; Hominidae. The record is from RNAcentral.